GACGUAGGAUGCAAGCGUUGUCCGGAUUCAUUGGGCGUAAAGAGUUCGUAGGCGGUUUGUUAAGUCUGAUGUUAAAGAUCGGGGCCCAACCCUGGGAGUGCAUUGGAUACUGGCAGACUGGAGUAUAGUAGAGGCGAGUGGAAUUCCCAGUGUAGCGGUGAAAUGCGUAGAUAUUGGGAAGAACACCGGUGGCGCAGGCGACUCGCUGGGCUGUUACUGACGCUGAGGAACGAAAGCUAGGGGAGCAAAUGGG
This 253-nucleotide unclassified non-coding RNA is filed under the name uncultured cyanobacterium. RNAcentral's name for it is "contains 16S-23S intergenic spacer region". It matches the Rfam family "Bacterial small subunit ribosomal RNA", at positions 524 to 776 of the family's 1533-position model. The record is from RNAcentral. Lineage: Bacteria; Bacillati; Cyanobacteriota.